GGCCGUGGUGCGCAGGCGCAGUCUGCGCAGGGACUGGCGGGACUGCGCGGAGGCGACUGCAGACGUAUCGGGGGUCCGGAGCCUGUCGCGGCUGCUAAGCGCUCGGCGCCUGGCGCUGGCGCUGGCCAAGGCUUGUUGCAAACAGGAACCCGAGGUGUUCACUUCACUGUUGAAGGAACGAGAGGGCAUCUGCUAAAGUUUCAGAUUCCAUUUCUGCUCAGUAUCCAGUAGUGGAUCAUGAAUUUGAUGCAGUGGUGGUAGGCGCUGGAGGGGCAGGCUUUGCGAGCUGCAUUUGGCCUUUCCGAGGCAGAGUUUGAUACAGCAUGUGUUACCAAGCUGUUUCCUACCAGGUCACACACUGUUGCAGCGCAGCUAGAAAAUUAUGGCAUGCCGUUUAGCAGAACUGAAGAUGGGAAGAUUUAUCAGCGUGCAUUUGGUGGACAGAGCCUCAAGUUUGGAAAGGGCAGGCAGGCCCAUCGGUGCUGCUGUGUGGCUGAUCGGACCGGCCACUCAAUAUUGCACACCUCAUAUGGGAGGUCUCUGAGAUAUGAUACCAGCUGUUUUGUGGAGUAUUUUGCCUUGGAUCUCCUGAUAGAGAACAGGGAGUGCCGUGGUGUCAUUGCACUGUGCAUAGAGGACGGGUCCAUCCAUCACAUAAGAGCAAAGAACACUGUUGUUGCCACAGGAGUCAAGAAACUUUUCUUUUGAGCUAUUGACAGCUUUUAACAAGUUAUUAUACUCCUAUGAACAAAAUUUGGAGCAUAUUUGUUUCUCUCUGCCUGAUUUCUCCUGAAUUUGGAAACUAUUUGACAUGAGGAUUCUCAACCUGAUAAAAAUGAGCUUUCCUAAUAACUCAAGACCCAUCUGCCUAGGAAUAAACCAUCCCAGCUGUGAGAGACCAGACGAAACCUGAGACCAGAGACUCGUUUUCUUCUAAAAUGCUUUCUCCAAAAGAUUUUUAAACAGAAAAAGGGGGAAAUGUGAAAGGAAAAGAAAACUUGAGGCCCCCAAAAUCACUAAGCUAAAAGGAAAAGUCAAGCUGGGAAUGGCUUAGGGCAAACCUGCCUCCCAUUCUAUGCAAAGUCAUCCCUCCGUGCACUGAGAUAAAUGCUUAUCUAAUUGCCUCCUUUGGAGAGGCUCAUCAGAAACUCAAAAUAAUGCAACCAUUUGACUCUCACCUACCUGUGACCUGGAAGAUCCCUCUCUGCUUGAGUUGUCCUGCUUUUCUGGAUGGAACCAAUGUUCAUCUUACAUAUAUUGAUUGAUGUCUCAUGUCUCCCUAAAAUGUAUAAAACCAAGCUGUGCCCUGACCACCUUGGGCACAUGUCGUCAGGACCUCCUGAGGCUGUGCCACAGGCAUGCAGCCUCAACCUUGGCAAAAUAAACUUUCUAAAUUGACUGAGA
Long non-coding RNA from Homo sapiens (human), 1404 nucleotides. Ensembl annotates it as SDHA pseudogene 4. Its record names the gene SDHAP4. NCBI's taxonomy places the organism in Eukaryota, Metazoa, Chordata, Mammalia, Primates, Hominidae. The record is from Ensembl.